CCUACGGGCCGCACCAGUGGGGAAUAUUGCACAAUGGGCGCAAGCCUGAUGCAGCGACGCCGCGUGAGGGAUGACGGCCUUCGGGUUGUAAACCUCUUUCAGCACAGACGAAGCGCAAGUGACGGUAUGUGCAGAAGAAGGACCGGCCAACUACGUGCCAGCAGCCGCGGUAAUACGUAGGGUCCGAGCGUUGUCCGGAAUUACUGGGCGUAAAGAGCUCGUAGGUGGUUUGUCGCGUUGUUCGUGAAAACUCACAGCUUAACUGUGGACGUGCGGGCGAUACGGGCAGACUUGAGUACUGCAGGGGGGACUGGAAUUCCUGGUGUAGCGGUGGAAUGCGCAGAUAUCAGGAGGAACACCGGUGGCGAAGGCGGGUCUCUGGGCAGUAACUGACGCUGAGGAGCGAAAGCGUGGGGAGCGAACAGGAUUAGAUACCCCUGUAGUC
This 445-nucleotide ribosomal RNA is filed under the name uncultured bacterium. RNAcentral's name for it is "bacterial SSU rRNA". It matches the Rfam family "Bacterial small subunit ribosomal RNA", at positions 338 to 795 of the family's 1533-position model. The record is from RNAcentral.